UUAUAAGAGACAGCAGUAGCCGCGGUAAUACGUAGGUGGCAAGCGUUGUCCGGAAUUAUUGGGCGUAAAGCGCGCGCAGGUGGUUUAAUAAGUCUGAUGUGAAAGCCCACGGCUCAACCGUGGAGGGUCAUUGGAAACUGUUAAACUUGAGUGCAGGAGAGAAAAGUGGAAUUCCUAGUGUAGCGGUGAAAUGCGUAGAGAUUAGGAGGAACACCAGUGGCGAAGGCGGCUUUUUGGCCUGUAACUGACACUGAGGCGCGAAAGCGUGGGGAGCAAACAGGAUUAGAUACCCCAGUAGUCCCUGUCUCUUAUAC
RNAcentral lists this ribosomal RNA (314 nucleotides) under uncultured bacterium. RNAcentral describes it as "partial 16S ribosomal RNA". It matches the Rfam family "Bacterial small subunit ribosomal RNA", at positions 499 to 807 of the family's 1533-position model. The record is from RNAcentral.